CCUACGGGAGGCAGCAGUGAGGAAUAUUGGUCAAUGGACGAGAGUCUGAACCAGCCAAGUAGCGUGAAGGAUGACUGCCCUAUGGGUUGUAAACUUCUUUUAUAUGGGAAUAAAAUGUUCCACGUGUGGGAGUUUGUAUGUACCAUAUGAAUAAGGAUCGGCUAACUCCGUGCCAGCAGCCGCGGUAAUACGGAGGAUCCGAGCGUUAUCCGGAUUUAUUGGGGUUAAAGGGGGCGUAGGUGGAUUGUUAAGUCAGUUGUGAAAGUUUGCGGCACAACCGUAAAAUUGCAGUUGAAACUGGCAGUCUUGAGUACAGUAGAGGUGGGCGGAAUUCGUGGUGUAGCGGUGAAAUGCUUAGAUAUCACGCAGAACUCCGAUUGCGAAGGCAGCUCACUGGACUGCAACUGACACUGAGGCUCGAAAGUGUGGGUAUCAAACAGGAUUAGAUACCCGAGUAGUC
RNAcentral lists this ribosomal RNA (460 nucleotides) under uncultured bacterium. RNAcentral's name for it is "partial 16S ribosomal RNA". It matches the Rfam family "Bacterial small subunit ribosomal RNA", at positions 338 to 795 of the family's 1533-position model. The record is from RNAcentral.